Molecule: ribosomal RNA, 207 nt
Filed under: uncultured bacterium
Lineage: Bacteria
Description: partial 16S ribosomal RNA
Rfam family: Bacterial small subunit ribosomal RNA
Source: RNAcentral
CGCGUAGGCGGGAUGGCAAGUCAGUCGUGAAAUCUCUCGGCUCAACCAAGAAACGUCGGCUGAUACUGCCGUUCUUGAGGGAUGCAGAGGAGACUGGAAUUCCCGGUGUAGCGGUGAAAUGUGUAGAGAUCGGGAGGAACACCGGUGGCGAAGGCGGGUCUCUGGGCAUUUCCUGACGCUGAGGCGCGAAAGCGUGGGGAGCAAACG